UACGUAGGGGGCAAGCGUUGUCCGGAUUUAAUGGGCGUAAAGAGCGUGUAGGCGGCCAUGUAGGUCCGUUGUGAAAACUCGAGGCUCAACCUCGAGACGCCGAUGGAAACCAUGUGGCUAGAGUCCGGAAGAGGAGAGUGGAAUUCCUGGUGUAGCGGUGAAAUGCGCAGAUAUCAGGAAGAACACCCGUGGCUAAGGCGGCUCUCUGGGACGGUACUGACGCUGAGACGCGAAAGCGUGGGGAG
Molecule: ribosomal RNA, 245 nt
Filed under: uncultured Aciditerrimonas sp.
Lineage: Bacteria; Bacillati; Actinomycetota; Acidimicrobiia; Acidimicrobiales; Acidimicrobiaceae
Description: partial 16S ribosomal RNA
Rfam family: Bacterial small subunit ribosomal RNA
Source: RNAcentral